This 292-nucleotide ribosomal RNA is filed under the name uncultured bacterium. RNAcentral's name for it is "partial 16S ribosomal RNA". It matches the Rfam family "Bacterial small subunit ribosomal RNA", at positions 505 to 796 of the family's 1533-position model. The record is from RNAcentral.
GUGCCAGCAGCCGCGGUAAUACGUAGGUGGCAAGCGUUGUCCGGAAUUAUUGGGCGUAAAGCGCGCGCAGGCGGUCUUUUAAGUCUGAUGUGAAAGCCCACGGCUCAACCGUGGAGGGUCAUUGGAAACUGGAAGACUUGAGUGCAGAAGAGGAGAGUGGAAUUCCACGUGUAGCGGUGAAAUGCGUAGAUAUGUGGAGGAACACCAGUGGCGAAGGCGACUCUCUGGGAUGUAACUGACGCUGAGGCGCGAAAGCGUGGGGAGCAAACAGGAUUAGAUACCCCGGUAGUCC